AGAGUUUGAUCAUGGCUCAGGACGAACGCUGGCGGCGUGCUUAAUGAAUGCGAGUCGAGCGAAGGGUCGAGAUAAGCUUGCUUAAAUCGGUUCUUAGCGGCGAACGGGUGAGUAACACGUAGGGAUCUGCCUUUUUGACUGGGAUAACAGCGAGAAAUUGCUGCUAAUACCGGAUACGCUGGAGACAGGAAAGGUUUAUGACUGGAAACGGUCAUACGCCGCUUAAAGAGGAACCUGCGGCCCAUCAGCUAGUUGGCGGGGUAACAGCCCACCAAGGCGACGACGGGUAGCCGGUCUGAGAGGAUGAACGGCCACACUGGGACUGAGACAUGGUCCAGACUCCUACGGGAGUUAGCAUCAGGGGAUCUUGCGCAAUGGGCGAAAGCCUGACGCAGCGACGCCGCGUGGGGGAUGACGGCUCUCGGGUUGUAAACCCCUGUCCAGGGGGACGAACAAAUGACGGUACCCCUGGAGGAAGCCACGGCUAACUACGUGCCAGCAGCCGCGGUAAUACGUAGGUGGGCAAGCCGUUGUCCGGAUUUACUGGGCGUAAAGGGCCAGGUAGGCGGUCUGAUAAGUCAUCCGUUAAAGCCCCAGGCUCAACCUGGGAUCUGCAGGUAUUACUGUCAGACUAGAGUGUGCUAGAGGAGAGCGGAACUGCCAGUGUAGCGGUGGAAUGCGUAGAUAUUGGCAGGAACGCCAGUGACGAAGGUGGCUCUCUGGGGCAUGACUGACGCUGAGCUGCGAAAGCCAGGGUAGCGAACGGGAUUAGAUACCCCGGUAGUCCUGGCCGUAAACGAUGGUCACUAGGUGUUGGAGGUAUCGACCCCCCCAGUGCCGCAGUUAACGCAUUAAGUAUCCCGCCUGGGGAGUACGACCGCAAGGUUGAAACUCAAAGGAAUUGACGGGGGCCCGCACAAGCGGUGGAGCAUGUGGUUUAAUACGUCACUAACCGUAGAACCUUACCCAGGCUUGACAUCCGNCGUAAGUGCUUGAAAGGGUUACCCCUGCAUGGUAACAUGCAGCAGCGAGACAGGUGUUGCAUGGCUGUCGUCAGCUCGUGUCGUGAGAUGUUGGGUUAAGUCCCGCAACGAGCGCAACCCUCAUCCGAUGUUGCCAGCGUAAAGUCGGGAACUCUUCGGAAACUGCCCGUGUAAGCGGGAGGAAGGUGGGGAUGACGUCAAGUCAGCAUGGCCCUUACGCCUGGGGCUACACACAUGCUACAAUGGACGUGAACAAAGGGCAGUAAUACCGCGAGGUGGAGCUAAUCUCGAAAAUACGUCCUCAGUUCGGAUCGCAGUCUGCAACUCGACUGCGUGAAGUCGGAAUCGCUAGUAACCGCAGGUCAGCUAAACUGCGGUGAAUACGUUCCCGGGCCUUGUACACACCGCCC
Molecule: ribosomal RNA, 1393 nt
Filed under: uncultured bacterium
Lineage: Bacteria
Description: bacterial SSU rRNA
Rfam family: Bacterial small subunit ribosomal RNA
Source: RNAcentral